AUCCUAGUACUACUCACGCCCAAG
RNAcentral lists this non-coding RNA (24 nucleotides) under Arabidopsis thaliana (thale cress). Lineage: Eukaryota; Viridiplantae; Streptophyta; Magnoliopsida; Brassicales; Brassicaceae. The record is from RNAcentral.